RNAcentral lists this ribosomal RNA (717 nucleotides) under Triticum aestivum (bread wheat). Its description in RNAcentral is "partial small subunit ribosomal RNA". Lineage: Eukaryota; Viridiplantae; Streptophyta; Magnoliopsida; Poales; Poaceae. The record is from RNAcentral.
AUGGAUGAAGCACAGUGCUUGCAAUGGCUUGAUUCAAUGAAGCCAGGCUCAGUGGUCUUUGUCAGCUUUGGCAGCCUCGCUUGCACUACACCUCAACAGCCUGUUGAGUUGGGACUGGGACUUGAAACCUCCAGGAAACCGUUUAUUUGGGUGAUCAAAGCAGGAGCUAAGCUUCCAGAAGUUGAGGAAUGGCUCGCAGACGAGUUCGAGGAGUGUGUCAAAAAUAGAGGCAUGGUCAUAAGGGGUUGGGCACCACAGCUCAUGAUCCUGCAGCACCAAGCCGUUGGAGGAUUCGUGACGCACUGCGGGUGGAACUCAACAGUAGAGGGCAUCUGUGCAGGUGUGCCCAUGAUCACAUGGCCGCACUUUGAGGAGCAGUUUUUGAAUGAGAAGCUGCUGGUGGAUGUGCUGAAAAUCGGAAUGGAGGUUGGAGUGAAAGGAGUUACACAGUGGGGAAGUGAAAACCAGGAGGUUAUGGUUACAAGAGAUGAGGUGCAGAAAGCUGUGAACACCCUGAUGGAUGAGGGGGCGGCUGCAGAAGAGAUGAGGGUGAGAGCAAAAGACUGCGCCAUUAAAGCAAGGAGGGCUUUCGAUGAGGGAGGUUCUUCGUAUGACAACAUAAGGCUAUUAAUUCAAGAAAUGGAAAUCAAGACGAAUGCAUGUGGUUCAGUGGUUGAUACAGAUGAGUUGAUAAGAGUUCAGAAAGGAGAAAAAUGA